RNAcentral lists this long non-coding RNA (237 nucleotides) under Nicotiana benthamiana. RNAcentral describes it as "long non-coding RNA (NBEN_LNC001034)". Lineage: Eukaryota; Viridiplantae; Streptophyta; Magnoliopsida; Solanales; Solanaceae. The record is from RNAcentral.
AUUGCGGACAUUUGAGAAGGUGACAAGUGCAGAUGUGUUUUACGUGCUGGAGGGUAACAACUAUCCUAACUCAAGGAUAUUUUCGUCCCUUGUGAAGAAACUCUGACCAUAAGCAGAAUCUAUUAGUUAUGUUGAGGAGAAGUAUCUUUUUCCAGCUUUCUGUAUUUUGUCUUGGAGGAGAAGUUGGGAAAUGUCAACCAUUUUCGACGAAAACGGCCGAACCCAUGGAUUUUUAAU